RNAcentral lists this ribosomal RNA (549 nucleotides) under uncultured bacterium. RNAcentral describes it as "partial 16S ribosomal RNA". It matches the Rfam family "Bacterial small subunit ribosomal RNA", at positions 355 to 893 of the family's 1533-position model. The record is from RNAcentral.
UGGGGAAUUUUGGACAAUGGGCGCAAGCCUGAUCCAGCCAUGCCGCGUGCGGGAAGAAGGCCUUCGGGUUGUAAACCGCUUUUGUCAGGGAAGAAAUCUUCUGAGUUAAUACCUCGGGAGGAUGACGGUACCUGAAGAAUAAGCACCGGCUAACUACGUGCCAGCAGCCGCGGUAAUACGUAGGGUGCAAGCGUUAAUCGGAAUUACUGGGCGUAAAGCGUGCGCAGGCGGUUUUGUAAGACAGAGGUGAAAUCCCCGGGCUCAACCUGGGAACUGCCUUUGUGACUGCAAGGCUUGAGUGCGGCAGAGGGGGGAUGGAAUUCCGCGUGUAGCAGUGAAAUGCGUAGAUAUGCGGAGGAACACCGAUGGCGAAGGCAAUCCCCUGGGCCUGCACUGACGCUCAUGCACGAAAGCGUGGGGGAGCAAAACAGGAUUAGAUACCCUGGUAGUCCACGCCCUAAACGAUGUCAACUGGUUGUUGGGAAGGUUCCUUCUCAGUAACGUAGCUAACGCGUGAAGUUGACCGCCUGGGGGAGUACGGCCGCAAGG